Acanthosepion pharaonis is the source of this 98-nucleotide non-coding RNA. The record is from the annotation of a GenBank genome assembly. NCBI's taxonomy places the organism in Eukaryota, Metazoa, Mollusca, Cephalopoda, Sepiida, Sepiidae.
AUUGAAACACUGGUCCCGGUACGAUCAUCGAAGUUAAGCAACAUCGAGCCUGAUCAGUACCUAGAUAGGUGACUGCUUGGAAAUAACAGGUGCUGUAA